This 397-nucleotide ribosomal RNA is filed under the name uncultured bacterium. RNAcentral's name for it is "bacterial SSU rRNA". It matches the Rfam family "Bacterial small subunit ribosomal RNA", at positions 521 to 916 of the family's 1533-position model. The record is from RNAcentral.
UAAUACGUAGGGUGCGAGCGUUAAUCGGAAUUACUGGGCGUAAAGCGUGCGCAGGCGGUUUCGUAAGUCAGAUGUGAAAGCCCCGGGCUCAACCUGGGAACUGCGUUUGAAACUGCGAGGCUAGAGUGUGUCAGAGGGGGGUAGAAUUCCACGUGUAGCAGUGAAAUGCGUAGAGAUGUGGAGGAACACCGAUGGCGAAGGCAGCCCCCUGGGAUAACACUGACGCUCAUGCACGAAAGCGUGGGGAGCAAACAGGAUUAGAUACCCUGGUAGUCCACGCCCUAAACGAUGUCUACUAGUUGUUGGUGGAGUGAAAUCCAUUAGUAACGCAGCUAACGCGUGAAGUAGACCGCCUGGGGAGUACGGUCGCAAGAUUAAAACUCAAAUGAAUUGACGG